GUGCACGCUGGCGGUAGGCCUAACGCAUGCAAGUCGAACGGCAGCACAGUAAGAGCUUGCUCUUACGGGUGGCGAGUGGCGGACGGGUGAGGAAUACAUCGGAAUCUACUUUUUCGUGGGGGAUAACGUAGGGAAACUUACGCUAAUACCGCAUACGACCUACGGGUGAAAGCAGGGGAUCUUCGGACCUUGCGCGAUUGAAUGAGCCGAUGUCGGAUUAGCUAGUUGGCGGGGUAAAGGCCCACCAAGGCGACGAUCCGUAGCUGGUCUGAGAGGAUGAUCAGCCACACUGGAACUGAGACACGGUCCAGACUCCUACGGGAGGCAGCAGUGGGGAAUAUUGGACAAUGGGCGCAAGCCUGAUCCAGCCAUACCGCGUGGGUGAAGAAGGCCUUCGGGUUGUAAAGCCCUUUUGUUGGGAAAGAAAAGCAGCAGGUUAAUACCCCGCUGUUCUGACGGUACCCAAAGAAUAAGCACCGGCUAACUUCGUG
This 491-nucleotide ribosomal RNA is filed under the name uncultured bacterium. Its description in RNAcentral is "partial 16S ribosomal RNA". It matches the Rfam family "Bacterial small subunit ribosomal RNA", at positions 29 to 507 of the family's 1533-position model. The record is from RNAcentral.